This 574-nucleotide ribosomal RNA is filed under the name uncultured bacterium. RNAcentral describes it as "bacterial SSU rRNA". It matches the Rfam family "Bacterial small subunit ribosomal RNA", at positions 100 to 673 of the family's 1533-position model. The record is from RNAcentral.
GCACGGGUGAGUAACACGUAUCCAACCUGCCGAUGACUCGGGGAUAGCCUUUCGAAAGAAAGAUUAAUACCCGAUGGCAUAGUUCUUCCGCAUGGUAGAACUAUUAAAGGAUUUCGGUCAUCGAUGGGGAUGCGUUCCAUUAGGUUGUUGGCGAGGUAACGGCCCACCAAGCCUUCGAUGGAUAGGGGUUCUGAGAGGAAGGUCCCCCACAUUGGAACUGAGACACGGUCCAAACUCCUACGGGAGGCAGCAGUGAGGAAUAUUGGUCAAUGGACGAGAGUCUGAACCAGCCAAGUAGCGUGAAGGAUGACUGCCCUAUGGGUUGUAAACUUCUUUUAUACGGGAAUAAAGUGAGGCACGUGUGCCUUUUUGUAUGUACCGUAUGAAUAAGGAUCGGCUAACUCCGUGCCAGCAGCCGCGGUAAUACGGAGGAUCCGAGCGUUAUCCGGAUUUAUUGGGUUUAAAGGGAGCGUAGGCGGACGCUUAAGUCAGUUGUGAAAGUUUGCGGCUCAACCGUAAAAUUGCAGUUGAUACUGGGUGUCUUGAGUACAGUAGAGGCAGGCGGAAUUCGUGG